GACGAACCGUGCGAACGUUAUUCGGAAUCACUGGGCUUAAAGAGCGCGUAGGCGGCGUCGUAAGUUGGAGGUGAAAUCCCAUCGGCUCAACCGUGGAACUGCCCCCAUACUGCGAUGCUUGUAGAGAGGUAGGGGUCGAUGUGGAACGUUACCUACGUGGAGCGGUGAAAUAGUGUUGUAGAUUGGUAAGGAACGCCAGUGGCGAAAGACGGCGAUGCUGGAUCUCUACUGACGCUGAGGCGCG
RNAcentral lists this ribosomal RNA (244 nucleotides) under uncultured bacterium. RNAcentral describes it as "partial 16S ribosomal RNA". It matches the Rfam family "Bacterial small subunit ribosomal RNA", at positions 524 to 755 of the family's 1533-position model. The record is from RNAcentral.